Pipistrellus kuhlii (Kuhl's pipistrelle) is the source of this 322-nucleotide long non-coding RNA. RefSeq lists it as uncharacterized. The transcript has 2 exons. Lineage: Eukaryota; Metazoa; Chordata; Mammalia; Chiroptera; Vespertilionidae. The record is from RefSeq and is a predicted model, not a curated record.
CUUGACUGGGAAUCGAACCAGCAGCCUUCCAGUGCAAGGGAUGACACCCAACCAGCUGAGCCACACUAGCCAGGACAACCCUAGUUGUUUUCUUAAAAGGAAAUUAGAUUUAUAUCCUUACCUUAUCAUUUAGAUAUCCAAUUUUCAGAAUGUAUUCCACAUUAGCUACUCCAUCUGCCAUUCUUAAGUCUCCUUGGGAGUCUCCCAGCAGAAUGAUGUUGCUGUUGUCUUUCAGUUGACUGAAAUACUCUGUGUUCUUCAAGGCACCAUCGUGUUUGUUAAAUACAUGAAUCAGAUCUCCUUUAAAUCCUUUGAGCACUCC